GAAAUUUUAGCUGAGGUAGUGGACAUAUUGCACAGUCCUGCCAAAAGAAAUGUAGAUCCUAUGUGCGUUACACCUUGAGAAAUUGACUUUUGCACAUACAAUGUUGGUUGAUUUUUUUUUUCCUGAUGUUGUUCUGGAUAUUAACUGCGCACUGAGUAAGACACAAAAUCCGAAGCUUCAGACGGGGUGGUCUAGGCGUUCCCCGGAGCUGCAGACACUAACCAGGCCCGCUGUGUGCGCGCUUCCCGGGAUUCAAGCGAGCUCCCGCGCCAGGAGGACAUUGACCGGGGGUCCUUCAGGGGGCGGGGGGCUGGGUUGAAACAGGGGCCGCGGCAGCGCAGGACCCAAAACGAAACUGAGAUUUUUAGUCAACCGUCGUACUCGGCCUUCAGCGGCCCCUGUUUCGACCCGUCUGUCCCUCACACCCGCCGCGGAGACGGACCCGUCUGUUCCGUCUCCGCGGCGGGUGUGAGGGACCUACCGGAGCCUCCGGAGCGCCGGGCCCCAGCUCGCAGGAGCCCCGACAGUACAGCUGUCUGCGGGGUGUACCAAAAAUCAAGGUUAGACUAGUAAUUCAGUCAAGAGAGAUUUGAAACAAGAACUUCAAACUUUUAUGGGAGGUGCUACUUAUUUGACUCAUUUUUAUGGACGUGUGACUUGUCGAAACCUUUCGUUAACCAGCGAGCUAACUAACUAACGAGCUGAGACCCCGGUAACAGCUCAGCACCCCAGCCCCACGGCGCGCUCGCACCCCACGAGGAGGAGGAGGAGGCGCGAGAUGCAGGGGGUAGACGUUCCGAGCGGAGCUGCAGGAGCGCCGGCGGUGGGCGGCGUGAGGGAGCGAUCUGGCUGCGGAGCGCGUAUAUAACCCGCAUCGCGGCUCCCAGCCCGAGUCGGAGGCGCAGACCCGGGAACGAGCAGGCUCCCCGGCUCGUGACAGCACGCCUCCUCCCUCGAGCUCGUCGCGCGCUGUGGUGGCAAGUGUGCGUCGGGGACAUUUGGAGAAAACAGCAGAACGGGCACACAGAACACACCUCGGCGCCCGGAGCUGCUGCCUUCAGACAGCUGGAUCUCCGUACUCUGUGGCGCUGUGCUCCUGUCCCGCUGGACGAGUGCCAGUGUGGUUCCCCUGCGAUGCCACGGCUGACCUCCUGCAUCCCGGGAGUCCUGAUGCUGACGGCCUGGGCCUGUGUGGCCGCUGAUCCAGGGCGAGGGGUCAGUGUGACAGCAUCUUUGAGAAGGGGCUGAGGGAGCAGUGCACACCUCUGGCGGGUCAGUGGCACUGCACAGUGUCCGGCGGCGAGAUGUACAACUACUACAUAGUGACCGUGACGGCCCGGGACGCCAGGGGCAGCGCUACCUCCCCGCGCCUCUGUCUGUGGAACGAGUCAGGUACGGGUGGGAAAACGCCUGUCCAGCCCCCCUCUCCCUCUCCCUCCCCCUC
Molecule: long non-coding RNA, 1444 nt
Filed under: Lepisosteus oculatus (spotted gar)
Lineage: Eukaryota; Metazoa; Chordata; Actinopteri; Semionotiformes; Lepisosteidae
Description: lncRNA (ENSLOCG00000021171.1)
Source: RNAcentral